RNAcentral lists this microRNA (23 nucleotides) under Xenopus laevis (African clawed frog). RNAcentral describes it as "Xla-Novel-20_3p (mature (guide))". The record is from RNAcentral. Lineage: Eukaryota; Metazoa; Chordata; Amphibia; Anura; Pipidae.
UCUGCAGAGAAGUGUCGGAAGAC